GACGAACGCUGGCGGCGUGCUUAACACAUGCAAGUCGAACGGGUCUGCCCUGUUUUUUGCGGGGUGGGUCAGUGGCGAACGGGUGAGUAACACGUGAGUAACCUGCCCCUCACUUCUGGAUAACCGCUUGAAAGGGUGGCUAAUACGGGGUGUUCUGGCUGUGCCGCAUGGUUCGGCUGGGAAAGAUUCACUUUUGUGGUGUUUUGGUUGGGGAUGGGCUGGCGUCCUAUCAGCUUGUUGGUGGGGCGAUGGCCUGCCAAGGCUUUGACGGGUAGCCGGCCUGAGGGGGUGGGCGGUCCUGCUGGGGCUGAGAGACGGCCCAGACUCCGGCGGGAGGCAGCAGUGGGGGGUAUUGCACAAUGGGCGGAAGCCUGAUGCAGCGACGUCGCGUGAGGGAUGGAGGCCGUCGGGUUGUGAACCUCUUUCGCCGGUGAAGAAGGUCCUGCUCUUUGUGGUGGGGUUGACGGUAGCCGGGUUAUGAAGCGCCGGCUAACUACGUG
Molecule: ribosomal RNA, 500 nt
Filed under: uncultured bacterium
Lineage: Bacteria
Description: partial 16S ribosomal RNA
Rfam family: Bacterial small subunit ribosomal RNA
Source: RNAcentral